This 495-nucleotide ribosomal RNA is filed under the name uncultured bacterium. RNAcentral describes it as "partial 16S ribosomal RNA". It matches the Rfam family "Bacterial small subunit ribosomal RNA", at positions 30 to 507 of the family's 1533-position model. The record is from RNAcentral.
UGAACGCUGGCGGCGUGCCUAAUACAUGCAAGUCGAGCGAACGGACGAGAAGCUUGCUUCUCUGAUGUUAGCGGCGGACGGGUGAGUAACACGUGGAUAACCUACCUAUAAGACUGGGAUAACUUCGGGAAACCGGAGCUAAUACCGGAUAAUAUUUUGAACCGCAUGGUUCAAAAGUGAAAGACGGUCUUGCUGUCACUUAUAGAUGGAUCCGCGCUGCAUUAGCUAGUUGGUAAGGUAACGGCUUACCAAGGCAACGAUGCAUAGCCGACCUGAGAGGGUGAUCGGCCACACUGGAACUGAGACACGGUCCAGGCUCCUACGGGAGGCAGCAGUAGGGAAUCUUCCGCAAUGGGCGAAAGCCUGACGGAGCAACGCCGCGUGAGUGAUGAAGGUCUUCGGAUCGUAAAACUCUGUUAUUAGGGAAGAACAUAUGUGUAAGUAACUGUGCACAUCUUGACGGUACCUAAUCAGAAAGCCACGGCUAACUACGUG